UACGUCAUCCCACCUGGGAAGUACGAUCGCAAGAUUGAAACUCAAAGGAAUUGACGGGGGCCCGCACAAGCGGUGGAGCAUGUGGUUCAAUUCGACGCAACGCGAAGAACCUUACCUGGGCUCGAACGGCUUAAGAACAUCCUUGGAAACAGGGACUUCUCGCAAGAGACUUGAGUCGAGGUGCUGCAUGGCUGUCGUCAGCUCGUGUCGUGAGAUGUUGGGUUAAGUCCCGCAACGAGCGCAACCCUUGUCCUGUGUUGCCACCCCGUAAGGGAGCACUCUCAGGAGACCGCCAGCGAUAAGUUGGAGGAAGGUGGGGAUGACGUCGUAUCUCACUG
This 338-nucleotide unclassified non-coding RNA is filed under the name uncultured Bryobacterales bacterium. RNAcentral describes it as "contains 16S-23S intergenic spacer region". It matches the Rfam family "Bacterial small subunit ribosomal RNA", at positions 860 to 1198 of the family's 1533-position model. The record is from RNAcentral. Lineage: Bacteria; Pseudomonadati; Acidobacteriota; Terriglobia; Bryobacterales.